GAAAUUCAGUUUUUAAAAUUUUCAAAUUCCAAUGUCUUAAUUUUUUCUUUUAUUUUUUCUCCAAUAUGAAUAUUCCUGAAUGAGUCAAUGAAGUCAGAUUUUGCUGGGUCCUGCUGAUAAUGAAGGGUUAACUUUUCCAAACUAAACAAUCUAUUUCCACUUUCCAGUUAAUAAACUUUUGAAGAAAAUGUACAAAAUAACAAAUGUUUAUAUUUUAAAUAAAUUUUAGACAAGAAACAAAAUGUUUAUUUUUUAACAUACCAAUGUAAUUAUGGUUUUUGAUACUUCCAGUUAAUUUAUGUAGCUCUUUUUUUUUUUCAGGCAGAACUAUAUUUCUUUGGCCAGAAGACUUCCUUUAAACGUCUCCCUCUUUCACCUCCACUGGAGUGUAGUGGUAUAGCUACAGCUCACUGCAGCCUUGACUUCCUGGCCUCAAGCCUUCCUCUUACCUCAGCCUCUAGAGCAGGCUCAUGAUCAUAUUUCGGUAAUUGGAACACAGCCAUUCCAAGGCUUUUAGCAGUUUCUUGUACAUUAAUCAUCUUGUUCCUGUGUUCUCUUUAGGAGAAGCGGAACACCACAUCAGCAGUCUGACCACCCUGAGACUUCCAUGCUAUGAGGAAAUCCAAAAUAGCCAUUUAAAAUGUGAAGACAGUAUAUUUUUUAAAGAAAGCAAUACUGGCUAACUGUCAGUUGUUUUGACAUCCAAGUCUAGACACUAGCUAUGAAUGUGAAGAAGCCAUUCUGGACAUUCCAGACCCAGCAGAUGCCACAUGGAACAGUACUGAGGUCCAAAACACAUGGUUUUCCACCAUAUCCUGACAAUUGAACUACCCUGGCUGAAGCCCAGACAUCAUGGCACAAAGACAAGCUGUCAUCACUGAACCCUGACAAAGUUCUUGACCCACAGAAUUGUAAGCCUAAUAAAAGUGGAUUUUUAAAAAAAU
RNAcentral lists this long non-coding RNA (944 nucleotides) under Homo sapiens (human). RNAcentral describes it as "HSALNT0191609". The record is from RNAcentral. Lineage: Eukaryota; Metazoa; Chordata; Mammalia; Primates; Hominidae.